UACGGAGGGGACUAGCGUUGUUCGGAAUUACUGGGCGUAAAGCGCACGUAGGCGGAUUUGUUAGUCAGGGGUGAAAUCCCGAGGCUCAACCUCGGAACUGCCUUUGAUACUGCAAAUCUCGAGUCCGGAAGAGGUGAGUGGAAUUCCUAGUGUAGAGGUGAAAUUCGUAGAUAUUAGGAAGAACACCAGUGGCGAAGGCGGCUCACUGGUCCGGUACUGACGCUGAGGCGCGAAAGCUAGGGGAGCAAACGGG
This 253-nucleotide ribosomal RNA is filed under the name uncultured bacterium. RNAcentral's name for it is "partial 16S ribosomal RNA". It matches the Rfam family "Bacterial small subunit ribosomal RNA", at positions 524 to 776 of the family's 1533-position model. The record is from RNAcentral.